AAAUUGAAGAGUUUGAUCAUGGCUCAGAUUGAACGCUGGCGGCAGGCCUAACACAUGCAAGUCGAACGGUAACAGGAAGCAGCUUGCUGCUUUGCUGACGAGUGGCGGACGGGUGAGUAAUGUCUGGGAAACUGCCUGAUGGAGGGGGAUAACUACUGGAAACGGUGGCUAAUACCGCAUAACGUCGCAAGACCAAAGAGGGGGACCUUCGGGCCUCUUGCCAUCAGAUGUGCCCAGAUGGGAUUAGCUUGUUGGUGAGGUAACGGCUCACCAAGGCGACGAUCCCUAGCUGGUCUGAGAGGAUGACCAGCCACACUGGAACUGAGACACGGUCCAGACUCCUACGGGAGGCAGCAGUGGGGAAUAUUGCACAAUGGGCGCAAGCCUGAUGCAGCCAUGCCGCGUGUAUGAAGAAGGCCUUCGGGUUGUAAAGUACUUUCAGCGGGGAGGAAGGUGUUGUGGUUAAUAACCGCAGCAAUUGACGUUACCCGCAGAAGAAGCACCGGCUAACUCCGUGCCAGCAGCCGCGGUAAUACGGAGGGUGCAAGCGUUAAUCGGAAUUACUGGGCGUAAAGCGCACGCAGGCGGUCUGUCAAGUCGGAUGUGAAAUCCCCGGGCUCAACCUGGGAACUGCAUUCGAAACUGGCAGGCUUGAGUCUUGUAGAGGGGGGUAGAAUUCCAGGUGUAGCGGUGAAAUGCGUAGAGAUCUGGAGGAAUACCGGUGGCGAAGGCGGCCCCCUGGACAAAGACUGACGCUCAGGUGCGAAAGCGUGGGGAGCAAACAGGAUUAGAUACCCUGGUAGUCCACGCCGUAAACGAUGUCUACUUGGAGGUUGUGCCCUUGAGGCGUGGCUUCCGGAGCUAACGCGUUAAGUAGACCGCCUGGGGAGUACGGCCGCAAGGUUAAAACUCAAAUGAAUUGACGGGGGCCCGCACAAGCGGUGGAGCAUGUGGUUUAAUUCGAUGCAACGCGAAGAACCUUACCUGGUCUUGACAUCCACGGAAGAAUCCAGAGAUGGAUUUGUGCCUUCGGGAACCGUGAGACAGGUGCUGCAUGGCUGUCGUCAGCUCGUGUUGUGAAAUGUUGGGUUAAGUCCCGCAACGAGCGCAACCCUUAUCCUUUGUUGCCAGCGGUCCGGCCGGGAACUCAAAGGAGACUGCCAGUGAUAAACUGGAGGAAGGUGGGGAUGACGUCAAGUCAUCAUGGCCCUUACGACCAGGGCUACACACGUGCUACAAUGGCGCAUACAAAGAGAAGCGACCUCGCGAGAGCAAGCGGACCUCAUAAAGUGCGUCGUAGUCCGGAUUGGAGUCUGCAACUCGACUCCAUGAAGUCGGAAUCGCUAGUAAUCGUGGAUCAGAAUGCCACGGUGAAUACGUUCCCGGGCCUUGUACACACCGCCCGUCACACCAUGGGAGUGGGUUGCAAAAGAAGUAGGUAGCUUAACCUUCGGGAGGGCGCUUACCACUUUGUGAUUCAUGACUGGGGUGAAGUCGUAACAAGGUAACCGUAGGGGAACCUGCGGUUGGAUCACCUCCUUA
This 1542-nucleotide ribosomal RNA is filed under the name Salmonella enterica subsp. enterica serovar Oranienburg. RNAcentral describes it as "16S ribosomal RNA". It matches the Rfam family "Bacterial small subunit ribosomal RNA". RNAcentral also lists the same sequence under 4 other names. The record is from RNAcentral. Lineage: Bacteria; Pseudomonadati; Pseudomonadota; Gammaproteobacteria; Enterobacterales; Enterobacteriaceae.